This 487-nucleotide ribosomal RNA is filed under the name uncultured bacterium. Its description in RNAcentral is "bacterial SSU rRNA". It matches the Rfam family "Bacterial small subunit ribosomal RNA", at positions 28 to 507 of the family's 1533-position model. The record is from RNAcentral.
GACUAACGCUGGCGGCGUGCCUAAUACAUGCAAGUCGAACGGGAUUCUUUGAUCAGCUUGCUGAGAGAAGGAUCUAGUGGCGGACGGGUGAGUAACGCGUGGGAAUCUGCCUCUUACUGGGGGAUAAACAGUGGGAAAACUACUGCUAAUACCGCAUAAGAUCUUCGGAUGAAAGGUGCAACUGCACCGGUAAGAGAUGAGCCCGCGUCCCAUUAGCUAGUUGGUGGGGUAACGGCCUACCAAGGCGAUGAUCAGUAGCCGGUCUGAGAGGGUGAACGGCCACAUUGGGACUGAGACACGGCCCAAACUCCUACGGGAGGCAGCAGUGGGGAAUAUUCCGCAAUGGACGAAAGUCUGACGGAGCAACGCCGCGUGAGUGAUGAAGGUUUUCGGACUGUAAAACUCUGUUGUUUAGGACGAAAGUGCCUGUUGCAAAUAGUUGCAGGUAUUGACGGUACUGAACGAGGAAGCCACGGCUAACUACGUG